RNAcentral lists this ribosomal RNA (253 nucleotides) under uncultured prokaryote. RNAcentral describes it as "partial 16S ribosomal RNA". It matches the Rfam family "Bacterial small subunit ribosomal RNA", at positions 524 to 776 of the family's 1533-position model. The record is from RNAcentral.
UACAGAGGGUGCGAGCGUUGUCCGGAAUCACUGGGCGUAAAGGGCGCGUAGGUGGCGAGAUAAGCGUGUGGUGAAAGCCCGGGGCUCAACCCCGUGUCUGCCAUGCGGACUGUCUUGCUCGAGCGUAGUAGAGGCAGGUGGAAUUCCGGGUGUAGCGGUGGAAUGCGUAGAGAUCCGGAAGAACACCGGUGGCGAAGGCGGCCUGCUGGGCUACUGCUGACGCUGAUGCGCGACAGCGUGGGGAGCAAACAGG